RNAcentral lists this ribosomal RNA (1132 nucleotides) under uncultured bacterium. RNAcentral's name for it is "bacterial SSU rRNA". The stretch from base 1 to 943 matches the Rfam family "Bacterial small subunit ribosomal RNA". The record is from RNAcentral.
GUUUGAUCCUGGCUCAGAUUGAACGCUAGCGGGAUGCUUUACACAUGCAAGUCGAACGGCAGCGCGGAACUUCGGUUCUGGCGGCGAGUGGCGAACGGGUGAGUAAUAUAUCGGAACGUGCCUAGUAGCGGGGGAUAACUACGCGAAAGCGUGGCUAAUACCGCAUACGCCCUUCGGGGGAAAGGGGGGGAUCGCAAGACCUCUCACUAUUGGAGCGGCCGAUAUCAGAUUAGCUAGUUGGUGGGGUAAAGGCCUACCAAGGCAACGAUCUGUAGCUGGUUUGAGAGGACGACCAGCCACACUGGGACUGACACACGGCCCAGACUCCUACGGGAGGCAGCAGUGGGGAAUUUUGGACAAUGGGGGAAACCCUGAUCCAGCCAUCCCGCGUGUGCGAUGAAGGCCUUCGGGUUGUAAAGCACUUUUGGCAGGGAAGAAACGGCACCGGCUAAUACCGGGUGUCACUGACGGUACCUGCAGAAUAAGCACCGGCUAACUACGUGCCAGCAGCCGCGGUAAUACGUAGGGUGCAAGCGUUAAUCGGAAUUACUGGGCGUAAAGCGUGCGCAGGCGGUUUGGAAAGAAAGAUGUGAAAUCCCAGAGCUUACCUUUGGAACUGCAUUUUUAACUGCCAAGCUAGAGUAUGUCAGAGGGGGGUAGAUUUCCACGUGUAGUAGUGAACUGCGGACAGAUGGGGACGAAUACCGAUGGAGAACGCUGCCCGCUGGGAUAACACUGACGCUCAUGCACGAAUGCGUGCGAAGCAAACAUGAUUAGAUACCCUGAUAAUCCACGCCCGAAACGAUGUCACUAGCUGUUGGGCCCCUUCGGUCCUCAAUACACACCUAACGCGGGAAAUGACCCCCCUGGGGAAGUACUCUCGCCUGAUUAAUACUCAUAAGGAGUGGAUGUGUACCUCCCAGGCUGUGGGAUGAUUUGUUUUUUAAUUUGAUGGACGCGGGCAACGCUCCUAACCUUCAAUUGACUGGUAGUGCCUACACAAUAACAAGGGCUCCGGCCAGAAGAAAAACAGGAGCCCGUGUGUGUAUGCUCGACUCAGUCUGGGAUAUAGUAGAGAUUAGGCUGAUCUCCUCCCUACGCCGCGCUUCUAGAUGUGUAUAAAUGCUGCUAU